Molecule: ribosomal RNA, 214 nt
Filed under: Bongardia chrysogonum
Lineage: Eukaryota; Viridiplantae; Streptophyta; Magnoliopsida; Ranunculales; Berberidaceae
Description: partial 5.8S ribosomal RNA
Source: RNAcentral
AUAGCGUCGCUCCCAUCACAAUAUUAUGCAUGGGAUGCGGAUAUUGGCCCCCCGUACCAUUAUAGGUGUGGUCGGCCAAAAACUUAGCCCUAGGUGACGAGCGUCACGAUCAGUGGUGGUUGAAAAACCCCUUCGUCUUAGACCGGCAGUCGUGUAGCCUUGUUAUCUUUAUGGCAUAUGGACCCUUGUCUGUCGUGAGCACGACAUUCACCAU